CCUACGGGUGGCAGCAGUGGGGAAUAUUGCACAAUGGGGGAAACCCUGAUGCAGCGACGCCGCGUGAGUGAAGAAGUAUUUCGGUAUGUAAAGCUCUAUCAGCAGGGAAGAAAAUGACGGUACCUGAUUAAGUAGCUACGGCUAACUACGUGCCAGCAGCCGCGGUCAUACGUCGGGGGCAAGCGUUCUCCGGUUUGACUGGGUGGAAAGGGAGCGUAGACGGCAGUACAAGUCUGGAGUGAAAUGCCGGGGCUUAACCCUAGGACUGCUUUGGAUACUGUGCAACUAGAGUGCAGGAGAGGUAAGUAGAAUUCCUGGUGUAGCGGUGAAAUGCGUAGAUAUUAGGAGGAACACCAGUAGCGAAGGCGGCUUACUGGACGGUAACUGACGUUGAGGCGCGAAAGCGUGGGGAGCAAACAGGAUUAGAUACCCCAGUAGUC
This 440-nucleotide ribosomal RNA is filed under the name uncultured bacterium. RNAcentral describes it as "partial 16S ribosomal RNA". It matches the Rfam family "Bacterial small subunit ribosomal RNA", at positions 338 to 795 of the family's 1533-position model. The record is from RNAcentral.